This 245-nucleotide ribosomal RNA is filed under the name uncultured bacterium. Its description in RNAcentral is "partial 16S ribosomal RNA". It matches the Rfam family "Bacterial small subunit ribosomal RNA", at positions 527 to 771 of the family's 1533-position model. The record is from RNAcentral.
AUAGGGAGCAAGCGUUAUCCGGAUUUAUUGGGUGUAAAGGGUGCGUAGACGGGAAUUUAAGUUGGUUGUGAAAGCCCUCGGCUCAACUGCGGAACUGCAACCAAAACUGGAUUUCUUGAGUAUUGGAGAGGAAAGUGGAAUUCCUAGUGUAGCGGUGAAAUGCGUAGAUAUUAGGAGGAACACCAGUGGCGAAGGCGGCUUUCUGGACAAUAACUGACGUUGAGGCACGAAAGUGUGGGGAGCAA